RNAcentral lists this long non-coding RNA (206 nucleotides) under Panax ginseng (ginseng). RNAcentral describes it as "long non-coding RNA (PGIN_LNC000827)". The record is from RNAcentral. Lineage: Eukaryota; Viridiplantae; Streptophyta; Magnoliopsida; Apiales; Araliaceae.
AUUAGGUUGUGUAUUAACUGUAGAUAACAGUACGAUGUGUUAUGAUGUGAUUUUCUAAUCAAAAGAACCAUCUUAUAAAUGAUAGGUCGUUGAAUUAAAGGUAGAACUAAGUUGUGUAAACAGCAGACCAGGAAAGUUUCCUAUACUUCCUCCAACUAUUAUUGCGCAAGUAUCUUUACCUUUGCAUUUUCUUUAUGCAAUGGACA